AGCAGUGUGGUGCAGUUGUUUGAGUGUUUGACUAAGACUCUGGAGACCAGGGUUCGAAUCCUUGCUUGGCCA
This is a non-coding RNA of Phrynosoma platyrhinos (Desert horned lizard), 72 nucleotides long. The record is from the annotation of a GenBank genome assembly. Lineage: Eukaryota; Metazoa; Chordata; Lepidosauria; Squamata; Phrynosomatidae.